CCUACGGGUGGCUGCAGUGGGGAAUAUUGCACAAUGGGGGAAACCCUGAUGCAGCGAUGCCGCGUGGAGGAAGAAGGUUUUCGGAUUGUAAACUCCUUUUAUCAGGGACGAUAAUGACGGUACCUGAAGAAAAAGCUCCGGCUAACUACGUGCCAGCAGCCGCGGUAAUACGUAGGGAGCGAGCGUUGUCCGGAUUUAUUGGGUUUAAAGGGUGCGUAGGCGGAAUAUCAAGUCAGCGGUAAAAAUUCGGGGCUCAACCCCGUCGUGCCGUUGAAACUGAUGUUCUUGAGUGGGCGAGAAGUAUGCGGAAUGCGUGGUGUAGCGGUGAAAUGCAUAGAUAUCACGCAGAACUCCGAUUGCGAAGGCAGCAUACCGGCGCCCAACUGACGCUGAAGCACGAAAGCGUGGGUAUCGAACAGGAUUAGAUACCCCAGUAGUC
This 439-nucleotide ribosomal RNA is filed under the name uncultured bacterium. RNAcentral's name for it is "partial 16S ribosomal RNA". It matches the Rfam family "Bacterial small subunit ribosomal RNA", at positions 338 to 795 of the family's 1533-position model. The record is from RNAcentral.